AGUGGCGUACGGGUGAGUAACACGUGGAUCAUCUACCUUUUAGUGGGGAAUACCCCUGGGAAACCGGGGAUAAUACCGCAUAAGCUCGCAAGAGGAAAGCCGAAAGGCGCUGAAAGAGGAGUCCGCGGCUGAUUAGCUAGUUGGUGAGGUAACGGCCCACCAAGGCGAAGAUCGGUAGCCGGCCUGAGAGGGCACACGGCCACACUGGCACUGAAACACGGGCCAGACUCCUACGGGAGGCAGCAGUGGGGAAUCUUGCACAAUGGAGGAAACUCUGAUGCAGCGACGCCGCGUGAGCGAUGAAGCCCUUCGGGGUGUAAAGCUCUUUCGACGGGAACGAUAAUGACGGUACCCGAAGAAGAAGCUGCGGCUAACUACGUGCCAGCAGCCGCGGUAAUACGUAGGCAGCAAGCGUUGUUCGGAAUUACUGGGCGUAAAGAGUGCGUAGGCGGUGCUGCAAGUCUGGUGUGAAAUCUCCCGGCUCAACUGGGAGGGUGCGCCGGA
Molecule: ribosomal RNA, 504 nt
Filed under: uncultured bacterium
Lineage: Bacteria
Description: bacterial SSU rRNA
Rfam family: Bacterial small subunit ribosomal RNA
Source: RNAcentral